Molecule: transfer RNA, 72 nt
Filed under: Camelus bactrianus (Bactrian camel)
Lineage: Eukaryota; Metazoa; Chordata; Mammalia; Artiodactyla; Camelidae
Also listed under: 2 other names
Rfam family: tRNA
About the family: Transfer RNA (tRNA) molecules are approximately 80 nucleotides in length.
Source: Rfam by way of RNAcentral
GGAGGUAUACCUCAGUUGUAGAGUGUAUGCUUAGCAUGCACAAGGUCCUGGGUUCAAUCCCCAGUAUCAUUA